ACACGUGCAUGCUUAGUACGGCGAGUGAAGCGGCAAAAGCUCAAAUUUGAAAUCUGGCACCUUCGGUGUCCGAGUUGUAAUUUGAAGAAGGUAACUUUGGAGUUGGCUCUUGUCUAUGUUCCUUGGAACAGGACGUCACAGAGGGUGAGAAUCCCGUGCGAUGAGAUGCCCAAUUCUAUGUAAAGUGCUUUCGAAGAGUCGAGUUGUUUGGGAAUGCAGCUCUAAGUGGGUGGUAAAUUCCAUCUAAAGCUAAAUAUUGGCGAGAGACCGAUAGCGAACAAGUACAGUGAUGGAAAGAUGAAAAGAACUUUGAAAAGAGAGUGAAAAAGUACGUGAAAUUGUUGAAAGGGAAGGGCUUGAGAUCAGACUUGGUAUUUUGCGAUCCUUUCCUUCUUGGUUGGGUUCCUCGCAGCUUACUGGGCCAGCAUCGGUUUGGAUGGUAGGAUAAUGACUAAGGAAUGUGGCUCUACUUCGGUGGAGUGUUAUAGCCUUGGUUGAUACUGCCUGUCUAGACCGAGGACUGCGUCUUUUGACUAGGAUGUUGGCAUAAUGAUCUUAAGCCACCCGUCUGAACACCGGGACCCAAAAGUUUUGGUGUGUGGUUGAACAAUAAUUUUAAAAAAA
RNAcentral lists this ribosomal RNA (624 nucleotides) under Debaryomyces hansenii. RNAcentral describes it as "LSU rRNA". It matches the Rfam family "Eukaryotic large subunit ribosomal RNA", at positions 67 to 707 of the family's 3401-position model. The record is from RNAcentral. Lineage: Eukaryota; Fungi; Ascomycota; Pichiomycetes; Serinales; Debaryomycetaceae.